UGGGUGAGAAACGUUUGCUACAGUCUACCGGGUGGGCGGGUAGACUGAUAUAUCCGUCACACAUCUAGGUGGACAUGACACUUGUGAUGUCCGGAAGAGGCAGAUUUUCAAAAGGGCUUGUAGCGGCUAAUCACACUCACACCUGGUGGUGUAAUAUGUAAUCUUUAAGAGGCGUCCUCACAGCUGCCCAAACCGGACAACGUGACGGUGGUCUCCUUCAACAUGGGGGCCGUCCUCACCUGGGACAUCCCAGAAUACUCCACCAGCAAUCUCACCUACACAGCCCAGAUGAGGGUCCUGGAUGAAUUCCAGACCGUGUGUAACCACACAGGGGACCGGCACUGUGACAUGGGGCCCGUCCCCAGCUGUCUGGGGGUCUUCCUCCUGAGGGUCCGGGCGGAGGCCGGGACCAUGAAGUCCUGCUGGGUGAAGGUCCUCCACAAACCCUCGGAGGACAGUGAGUCCCCCCCCCCCCCCCCACCCGUGUUUAGAAACUGUGGACCGCACACACACACACACACACACAUACGACUACUGAUAAUGACAAGCAUACACACACAUUGCACCCACACAUUGCACUCACACACACACGCUAACACACACGCAAGCUUGAUCAACACAAAGAGAUGUUGGGGUCAAGGAACAAUCUUUUGUCCUCAGUUUUUUAAAUUGUCGGCCAAUUAAGCCUAAACCAAUCAAUGAAGUCCCUCCCUCUAUCCCCUCCUUCCUUUCCUCCUUUGCUGCUUCCCUUCUCCUUCCCGCCCUUCUCCCCCAUCCCCCCCACCCUAGCCGUCAUCGGGGCCCCCACCUUGCAGGUGGAGUUCAAAGCCGAAGAGGUGGAGGUGGUGAUGGCGGACCCCGUGCUCAGGGUGCUCCGCCCGCUGACAGACUGCUACAGCAAGGUCUCCUACGUGCUGCAGUACUGGAGGAAGGACCGGCCUGACCACGUGCUGGAGAAGAAGGGUGUGGCAGACAAGAGGGUGCGACUGAGGCUGAACGACCCUGGGAACAGCUACUGCAUUCAGGCUCGUGUGGACCCCUAUGGGCGAGAGGGCCUCUUCAGCGAGCCAGUAUGUGAUCAAUCAGGUGAUAACAAGCUGCCGGGACGUUUGGUGGUCGGUUUGGCGCUGGCGUCAUUGGCCCUCCCUCUCUCACUGCUGGUUGGUUGGUUGACCUACAAAGCAAACAGAUUCCUGAAUCCUAAGACUGCUCUUCCUUCCCUGCUCCAGAAGCAUCUGUCCCAGGCCAACGCUACCACUAUCGACUCAACCAACCAGCGGGCCCCAGCUCUGACCCAGGAGCAGUCGGAGAAGAUCAGCUUGUUCUACGAGGAGCACAGCAUCUGUGAGGUGGUCCUCAAACAAGACCAAGGCUGUGAUGACAACGGGAGUAAAGGAGAGGGUGAAGGGCUGAAGAGCUACUGCAACUUCCUGGAACUGAAUCACUGGUCCUAUAGUAACCUUUAA
This 1466-nucleotide long non-coding RNA is filed under the name Gadus morhua (Atlantic cod). RNAcentral's name for it is "lncRNA (ENSGMOG00000028830.1)". Lineage: Eukaryota; Metazoa; Chordata; Actinopteri; Gadiformes; Gadidae. The record is from RNAcentral.